UAACAUGUUGACAUGUAAAUCUACACUUUACGAUGCACGUUUGUCCAGGUCUUCGUCAGGUUAUUUUGUUAUUCUAUUCCAGCAAGAUAGCUAAAGCUGAGUAGAAUCACGAUAGUUUGGUUGCUAGAAGCUAGCACUAAGCUGUAAUGUUACCCACCUAAGUCGAUCCUGUUACCACUUUUAGAAGUGGAAACUAGGAGUAACGUUAACAUUAUCGUGUAAAAUGAUUUCAGAGCACAUCGCAAGAACAACAAGAACAACCACGAACAAAAGUUGCAGCAUGCCAAACAGAUCCUCCUUGUGUGGCAUCUCGCGGGACGCAGCUUUCUUUUACUACAUUGAGACCUCACCAACGAAGCAAAGGUUGUACCUUGCAGCUAUGCAUUUCAAUGAGAAUGCUCAGCGCCCACAACGGAAGACAGCCAAGGGGAAACUAAUGUACAGGCUUGUGUUUCCAAAGGCCAAAAGGGGAGGUUACACAGUCAAAAAAGUGAAGACAGAGCCAACGAUUUGCUGUCUUUAACCUGAUAAGACUGGUGUUCGAAGAGAUCGUCCAUGACUCCCUUCGUUAUGUGGAUGCCGUCCAGCAGAUUCCUGUGCCCCAAGACUUGUGUGCUCAGCUUCCCAGACCUUCCAGGGAGGAUGC
Molecule: long non-coding RNA, 646 nt
Organism: Alosa sapidissima (American shad)
Lineage: Eukaryota; Metazoa; Chordata; Actinopteri; Clupeiformes; Clupeidae
Exons: 3
Source: RefSeq, a predicted model, not a curated record